This 253-nucleotide ribosomal RNA is filed under the name uncultured bacterium. Its description in RNAcentral is "partial 16S ribosomal RNA". It matches the Rfam family "Bacterial small subunit ribosomal RNA", at positions 524 to 776 of the family's 1533-position model. The record is from RNAcentral.
UACGUAGGGGGCAAGCGUUGUCCGGAAUCAUUGGGCGUAAAGCGCGUGUAGGCGGCUGAGUAAGUCUGCUCUGAAAGCCCGGGGCUCAACCCCGGGAGGCGGGUGGAUACUGCUCAGCUCGAGUCCGGAAGAGGAGUGUGGAAUUCCUGGUGUAGCGGUGAAAUGCGCAGAUAUCAGGAGGAACACCAAUGGCGAAGGCAGCACUCUGGGACGGUACUGACGCUAAGGCGCGAAAGCGUGGGGAGCAAACAGG